GAUGAAGAACGUAGCGAAAUGCGAUAAGUAAUGUGAAUUGCAGAAUUCAGUGAAUCAUCGAAUCUUUGAACGCACAUUGCGCCCGCCAGUAUUCUGGCGGGCAUGCCUGUUCGAGCGUCAUUUCAACCAUCAAGCCCCCGGCUUGUGUUGGGGACCUGCGGCUGCCGCAGGCCCUGAAAACCAGUGGCGGGCUCGCUAGUCACUCCGAGCGUAGUAAUACAUCUCGCUCAGGGCGUGCUGCGGGUUCCGGCCGUUAAAAAGCCUUAUUUACCCAAGGUUGACCUCGGAUCAGGUAGGAAGACCCGCUGAACUUAAGCAUAUCAAUAAGCGCAGGA
Molecule: unclassified non-coding RNA, 335 nt
Filed under: soil metagenome
Description: partial contains 5.8S ribosomal RNA, internal transcribed spacer 2, and large subunit ribosomal RNA
Rfam family: 5.8S ribosomal RNA (bases 1-120)
Source: RNAcentral